CCUGUCGUCCAAGAUGGGUUUGACCAAAGCAAGCUUGGCAUCCGUGUACCAGCGGGAUAAGGAAUUUCCGUUCGAUUCGGAACGGAAGCU
Molecule: transfer RNA, 90 nt
Filed under: Paenibacillus lactis
Lineage: Bacteria; Bacillati; Bacillota; Bacilli; Caryophanales; Paenibacillaceae
Description: tRNA-Leu
Source: RNAcentral